CCUACGGGAGGCAGCAGUAGGGAAUCUUCCACAAUGGACGAAAGUCUGAUGGAGCAACGCCGCGUGAGUGAUGAAGGUUUUCGGAUCGUAAAACUCUGUUGUAAGGGAAGAACAAGUACGAGAGGGAAUGCUCGUACCUUGACGGUACCUUGCGAGAAAGCCACGGCUAACUACGUGCCAGCAGCCGCGGUAAUACGUAGGUGGCAAGCGUUGUCCGGAAUUAUUGGGCGUAAAGCGCGCGCAGGCGGCCUUUUAAGUCUGAUGUGAAAGCCCCCGGCUCAACCGGGGAGGGUCAUUGGAAACUGGAAGGCUUGAGUACAGAAGAGAAGAGUGGAAUUCCAUGUGUAGCGGUGAAAUGCGUAGAGAUGUGGAGGAACACCAGUGGCGAAGGCGACUCUUUGGUCUGUAACUGACGCUGAGGCGCGAAAGCGUGGGGAGCAAACAGGGAUUAGGACUACCCGUGGUACGUCCACGACCGUAAACGAUAGAGUCGACGUAGGUUGGGUUUCGGGGGGUUUCCCCCUCCCGUACGUAGGUCGUCGUAAGGAACGUACCGUAACGCUAAGUUAACGCCACCGUCCCGCGGUAGGGGUACGGUACCGGCCGACGAACGGUCGUAACGAACCUACGAAAGUAGUAAGUUCCGGACGGUCGUAGAGACGUACGACCGACGGACGACCGACGGAGGGAGGAGG
This 695-nucleotide ribosomal RNA is filed under the name uncultured bacterium. RNAcentral's name for it is "bacterial SSU rRNA". The stretch from base 1 to 574 matches the Rfam family "Bacterial small subunit ribosomal RNA", at positions 338 to 873 of the family's 1533-position model. The record is from RNAcentral.